This 449-nucleotide ribosomal RNA is filed under the name uncultured bacterium. Its description in RNAcentral is "partial 16S ribosomal RNA". It matches the Rfam family "Bacterial small subunit ribosomal RNA", at positions 29 to 523 of the family's 1533-position model. The record is from RNAcentral.
AAUGAACGCUGGCGGCAGGCCUAACACAUGCAAGUCGAACGGGUCCUUCGGGACUAGUGGCGGACGGGUGAGUAACGCGUGGGAACGUGCGCCUUGGUACGGAAUAGCCCCGGGAAACUGGGAGUAAUACCGUAUGUGGUCGAGAGACGAAAGAUUUAUCGCCGAGGGAUCGGCCCGCGUUGGAUUAGGUAGUUGGUGGGGUAAUGGCCUACCAAGCAGACGAUCCAUAGCUGGUUUGAGAGGAUGAUCAGCCACACUGGGACUGAGAUACGGCCCAGACUCCUAAGGGAGGCAGCAGUGGGAAAUCUUAGACAAUGGGGGAAACCCUGAUCUAGCCAUGCCGCGUGAUCGAUGAAGGCCUUAGGGUUGCAAAGAUCUUUCAGGUGGGAAGAUAAUGACUGUACCACCAGAAGAAGCCCCGGCUAACUCCGUGCCAGCAGCCGCCGUAA